RNAcentral lists this signal recognition particle RNA (298 nucleotides) under Aotus nancymaae (Ma's night monkey). Its description in RNAcentral is "Metazoan signal recognition particle RNA (ENSANAG00000012232.1)". It matches the Rfam family "Metazoan signal recognition particle RNA". Rfam says of the family: The signal recognition particle (SRP) is a universally conserved ribonucleoprotein. It is involved in the co-translational targeting of proteins to membranes. The record is from RNAcentral. Lineage: Eukaryota; Metazoa; Chordata; Mammalia; Primates; Aotidae.
GCUGGGCACAGUGGUGCGUGCCUGUAGUCCAAGCUACUUGGGAGGCUGAGGUGGGAGGAUCGCUUGAGCCCAGGAGUUCUGGCCUGUGGUGCGCUAUGCCAAUUGGGUGUCCGCACUAAGUUCGGCAUCAAUGUGGUGACCUCCCGGGAGUGGGGACCACUAGGUUGCCUAAGGAGGGGUGAACCAGCCUAGGUCGUAAACGGAGCAGGUCAAAACUCCUGUGCUGAUCAGUAGUAGGAUCACGCCUGUGAAUAGCCACUGCACUCCAGCCUGGGCAACAUAGCGAGACCCCGUCUCU